AAUUCCGUAUAUUCCGUUAUAAAAUCAUUCCGCGUUAAGACGAAGCCGCUAUGAUAACGUUCUGCGUUAACAUGAGUCCGCGAGGACGGCUGAAUACGCUGUAGUGGCCAUGCCAGACCAGUAGCUGGCGAUGUAGAGCUGUAGUGAAACAGUGGCGGUAAAACAUGCGCCUGCGCACAAACGAUUUCCGGUUUAGACAGCCUUUAAAUCAGGAGAAGAAGAAGAAGAAGAGGCGGGCAACACUAUUUACAAACAACAAUGGCGAGUGGUCGUACAAAGACGCAGGACUUCUUUGUCUGGACAGACGACGAAGUUGGGUUGUUGCUGGAUGUGGCCCUGAACUACAAAACAACCAAAUGGCAGGAGAAUGUUGACUGGGAAUCUUGCCAGUCGAAGUACGCCGACAUUUUGGGGGACUUUGUGCAGCAAUACCCGGCGAGCACCACUGCAGGAGGGAAGGACUUCCCUCAUCAUAAAUACGGCAUAACAAAAAGUCAGGUAACUUCGAAAUUAAAGGCCAUUCGGGCGAAGUACCGUAAGGCCGUGGACACCGGACGGCGAAGUGGCCACGGACGUGUUGUCUACAUAUUUUUUGACAAAUGUGAACAAAUUUGGGGUGGGUCGCCUGCUACAAACGCCUUGGAGGCUGGUAUCGAGUCUGAGGACAUGCUGUCCAGCUCCGAGGGCCCCUCCACCUCCAGCAGAUGUUCGACUCCAGCUGCACAAAUGCCUCCGGUGUUGGAUCCGGUGCCGAGUCCUGACGAUGAGAACGUGAGCUUCCAGCUCCCACCAGAGGUUGUUGGUCGACGCGACAUGCUCCAAACAAGGCUUCUUAACAACAGAAGGAAUCGGCUGAAGCACAAGCUUCAUGGAGACCCAGCUGUGCAGGAGGAUCUCAUCCUGAAGAAGCGAAUGGUGGACCUGCUGGAGGAGUCAGAGAGGAGGACCAGCGAAAGGCUGGACAGGAUCACAGACAAUAUAGCCACCAUCACAAAGACAAUUACUGAUGUGCUGCAUCAUAUGAUGAUGCAGCCAAACCCCUUUCCCUUUGCUGGCAGCAGUUUUAUGAGGAGAAAAGAUCUCCAGCUCCUGCCUACGGAUAAAGAAAAUGUUGAAACUAUAAAGAAAGAGGAGAGCCCUAGUCCACGCCAGGGGGACCUAAAGCCCCCCCACAUUAUAAACGAAGAGGAGAGCUCCAGUCCACACCAGGGGGACCUAAAGCCCCCCAACAUUAUAAAGGAAGAGGAGAGCUCCAGUCCACACCAGGAGGACCUAAAGCCCCCCCACAUUAUAAACGAAGAGGAGAGCUCCAGUCCACACCAGGAGGACCUAAAGCCCCCCCACAUUAUAAACGAAGAGGAGAGCUCCAGUCCACACCAGGAGGACCUAAAGCCCCCCCAUAAUAUAAAGGAAGAGGAGAGCUCCAGUCCACACCAGGAGGAUGUAAAGCCCCCCCACAUUAUGAAGAAAGAGGAGAUGGAGUUAACCAUCCCACGGCUCGAUCCAGAAUUAGAUUUACCCCCCCUCACUGAUAUUAAGACGGAAGAUUCUUCUGACACAGAUGACAGUGAAGAUUGGAAAUAAAGCCGGCCCAAUGAAAAGGUCAUGUGAACGCAGAAGCAGAUGGAGCAGAAGGAUCAGAACCGCCAUGAGUCAUUCACAGAGGAUACAUGAAAGGAAUGACAGAAGGACUCGAACCAUCAGCCCUGUUAUAGCAUUUUGUUUUGGUUAGUUUUAUAAAACUACCUGUGAUCCUACAGAUGUGACAUUCUUUACAUAAAUCACUUAUCAUCUCUGGAGAUAAAUAAA
RNAcentral lists this long non-coding RNA (1809 nucleotides) under Sphaeramia orbicularis (orbiculate cardinalfish). RNAcentral describes it as "lncRNA (ENSSORG00005011100.1)". The record is from RNAcentral. Lineage: Eukaryota; Metazoa; Chordata; Actinopteri; Kurtiformes; Apogonidae.